This 259-nucleotide ribosomal RNA is filed under the name uncultured bacterium. Its description in RNAcentral is "partial 16S ribosomal RNA". It matches the Rfam family "Bacterial small subunit ribosomal RNA", at positions 15 to 263 of the family's 1533-position model. The record is from RNAcentral.
GAUCCUGGCUCAGGAUGAACGCUAGCUACAGGCUUAACACAUGCAAGUCGAGGGGCAUCAGUUUGGUUUGCUUGCAAACCAAAGCUGGCGACCGGCGCACGGGUGGGUAACACGUAUCCAACCUACCUCAUACUCGGGGAUAGCCUUUCGAAAGAAAGAUUAAUAUCCGAUAGCAUAUAUUUCCCGCAUGGGUUUUAUAUUAAAGAAAUUCGGUAUGAGAUGGGGAUGCGUUCCAUUAGUUUGUUGGGGGGGUAACCGG